RNAcentral lists this long non-coding RNA (1360 nucleotides) under Homo sapiens (human). RNAcentral's name for it is "lncMGPF". The record is from RNAcentral. Lineage: Eukaryota; Metazoa; Chordata; Mammalia; Primates; Hominidae.
GUGCAUGGGAAAACAACAUUCAAUAAUAGUCUUUGUGUUUAAAACUAUCAUGGUAUACAUUUUCUUAUGUGGUGCUUGAGGAGUUUCAUUCUACAGUUUACAAGGUGUAGGUUUGCACCCCAAAUUCUCAGGGUAUGCUAUUUCACCCAAAUACUUGAAAGAAAAAGGUGCCCUGUAUUUUAUCAGUACUGUUGAGGGGGAAAUUUUUUGUGUAAGUUUGUUUGAUAAAACUGCUUAUAAAAAUCAAAUUCACAAAAUAUGUUAGGCUUUCACAUAAUUUCUAAGGAGAUAUAUGUAGAAAUAAGAUAUAUAUUAUCAAGAGACUGCUUAUAUAUUCUUAACUAGCUUCUGGGUCCUAAGUAGACCUCACAGGUGCAUAAAAUCAUUAAUAAAGCAUGUAGCACUUGCUAAUUGGUGCCUUAAGCUUGAAUCUAAUCAGAAUUGCAGACUCGGGUCCUCUGGGAAAAAAACAUGUCCGUCUGUGGCACGUGUGAGUACUAGGCCCAGGGGAAGAGUCUGAAAAUUGAAUUCUUUUGUGUGUCCUGUGUCUCAGAAGAGAACUGAAUGUUCAGAGCAGCGUUUGUAAGCUAUUAACAUUCAGUAUUUCGUGUUGCAACUAGAACACAUUAUUAGAUUUAUUCCUGUUUAAUUCAUAAUGGUGCAGAAUAAAACACACACAUCUGAUUUGAUUUCUUUUUCUUUUUUUAAGUUUCAUAAUUGCUUUUUAUGGCUAGUGUUAAUGGCAAAAAGUCCUUUCCAGGGCUCCCUGAAUAAUCUACCAUACCUGUAUCCAUAGCAGGUGAUGCUUUUUUUUAUCCCCACUUUGAAGACGUGUGUUUCUGUAUUUACACAUAAAUCAUACUAUUGUAUAUUAAAGACAGCAGUGGUUGAAAAGAAUGUGAACACUGUAGAAGUUAUGUUGGAAAAAAGGAGAGUAAAUUGUGUGAUUAAUGGGGAAGGAUAUUGGAUAAUGUUAUACCCCGGACUAUGAAAAAAGCUGGUGGUAAAUGGGAAGAAUGUGAAAUUUUAAACUGCUCUCAACGUAGGAAUCUUGGUGGAAAAGUUCCUACCUGAGGUCUGAUAUGAUUCAAUUAUAGAAUGCAAUGAGCUUGGCCAAGGGGACUUUGAAUCCAGCCAAGGAAACUUUGAAUCUCGACAGCUCUGAGAAUCACAUUUUCAGUGCAUUGAAUAUGGAGUAAACUAUUUAGACAAGGAUUCUGUGAGACUAGGCUACUUACCUUUAAUUGCCAGCAUUUGUAAAUGAUUGUGCAAUCUUGUGUAAUGGUCUUUUAUUUUGACUGUUUUGGAAAAAAAAUGUUUUAUUGUUUUUUUUUCCCAGUAAAAAUUACUUCAAAGAAAA